This is a long non-coding RNA of Toxorhynchites rutilus septentrionalis, 454 nucleotides long. RefSeq lists it as uncharacterized. The record is from RefSeq and is a predicted model, not a curated record. Lineage: Eukaryota; Metazoa; Arthropoda; Insecta; Diptera; Culicidae. The transcript is spliced from 3 exons.
UAUUUUCUCUAUAAUUAAUAUACUGAUUUCUCGAAAACUUGUACCGUGUUUAUCUUACAAUUAGUGUAAAUUGUUGAAAAAUAGUUUUUCUUAGCUGUUUCGAUGCUCCGAACCAAAAUUUAUUGACUAAAUGACAAAAUGACUAAAUGACUGAAAAAUAGCCUUUGAAGUACACCCUCUGUCAAUCUACCUGCGAGAGAGAACGUGUGAAAUAUGGACGUCAAAAGCUGCGCAAAUUGCCCGGAGAACAUGCAAGUCGGACGAAAUUUGCUUGAGGCUGACUCCGAACAAUCUGCAAAAUUCAAAAGCCGUAUUGUUUGUGUCGUCCCCGGAUGUAAGCAGAGAUAUCGCCCCGGAAUUUCUUUUCAUGCCUUCCCUCCGAAAACGGACAAAUCGCGCCUCCAUUUCACCGUGUCGAACUUCUACUCUCCAAGUAUUCACAUUCACAUUUUCG